Long non-coding RNA from Solea solea (common sole), 478 nucleotides. RefSeq lists it as uncharacterized. The transcript is spliced from 4 exons. Lineage: Eukaryota; Metazoa; Chordata; Actinopteri; Pleuronectiformes; Soleidae. The record is from RefSeq and is a predicted model, not a curated record.
AAGGAAUUACUGGGGAAGUUGGUGGUAGAGGGAGGCUAUUGACAUGUCACAGCAAGAUGCUCAAAAAUGUAGAGCACAUGGAGAAGAUUGCCAUGCUGGCUUUCCAUCCAGUUAAGAUGCACAGCUGCUAUGAGAAGGUGGUGAACCUGAGCCUUGAGGGUCUUGCAGCAACAGUUUGACGUGAGCAGCCCGUCAGUGUUUGUCCAAAGGGCCCAGAUCCCCAUGAGAGAGAUGUUUGAGCAGAUCCUUCAUCAGAGUCUCGAGUCUCAGGGUACAGAGGAGCUGUGUAAGAUCAUCCAGCACUGCCAGGACAGAGUCAUUAAGCACAUGGAGAAGAUUGCCAUGCUGGCUUUCCAUCCAGUUAAGAUGCACAGCUGCUAUGAGAAGGUGGUGAACCUGAGCCUUGAGGGUCUUGCAGCAACAGUUUGACGUGAGCAGCCCGUCAGUGUUUGUCCAAAGGGCCCAGAUCCCCAUGAGA